AGCACGUAUCCAACCUGCCGUCUACUCUUGGACAGCCUUCUGAAAGGAAGAUUAAUACAAGAUGGCAUCAUGAGUCCGCAUGUUCACAUGAUUAAAGGUAUUCCGGUAGACGAUGGGGAUGCGUUCCAUUAGAUAGUAGGCGGGGUAACGGCCCACCUAGUCUUCGAUGGAUAGGGGUUCUGAGAGGAAGGUCCCCCACAUUGGAACUGAGACACGGUCCAA
RNAcentral lists this ribosomal RNA (222 nucleotides) under uncultured bacterium. RNAcentral's name for it is "partial 16S ribosomal RNA". It matches the Rfam family "Bacterial small subunit ribosomal RNA", at positions 112 to 334 of the family's 1533-position model. The record is from RNAcentral.